Molecule: long non-coding RNA, 1448 nt
Organism: Oxyura jamaicensis (ruddy duck)
Lineage: Eukaryota; Metazoa; Chordata; Aves; Anseriformes; Anatidae
Exons: 3
Source: RefSeq, a predicted model, not a curated record
AACGUGAGCUCCCGGGACUUGGGGCCCGCCGGGCCGGGCCGGGCCGAGCCGCCGGGUGGAAGGCCCGUAACCGGACAGGGAGCGCCUCCCGGGAGGCGGGUGUACGCUACGAGCAGGGCUGCCCUGCGGGAGAGGACGAGGGCUCAGCAGCGCCUUAUCCAAUCGCUUUGCCACCGGCUUAGCGUUGCAGAUGAUGGCACCAGGCGUGUGGUCCCAAGGCAGAAGAAUGCAUAUGAACAAUAGAAGAAAAUUUGAUUUAUGAACAUUGAAUACUGAUUGCUCUCACAAGCCAAGGACACAAUUUCUGUACGAUGGAGAAAUGGCAACAGACACACUUUCCUGGGAUCACACUGUGGGAUGAAUGGUGCAGUCAGGAUUAGAGCUCAAGACUUCCAAAUCAUGCUGCCAUAUGGUCAGAGACCUGGAGAGGAGACAACUGAAAUUACGAGCUCUGAACAUUUGUACUUCCACUACAUCCUGAGCACAGAAAGACAGACGUUUAUGGGCCCCUACUGCCAGUUACAGCCCAUGGAUAGAAUAUAAUUUUCCAGAAUGUCUCACAUCUCAGCCCAGCUUUAACUUCUCCAGCACUACUGACAGUGCGUAGUCCCAGCUGGGCACCAAAGCAUUCACUGGGCCAUGCUGAUUGUUUCUGUGCCAGAACUGCUGUGUUCACUCCUGGCAGUGAAAGACAAGAGUAGCUCUGCCUGCUAGUGAAGAGCUCCUCGCCCACAGAGCAGGCUCCUGGCAUCACUCGCAUCUGGCAAGUCACUGCUGCUCAGUGAUGCAGCUAUGGCUGCACAGGCAGGGAUGAACUGCCACACAAGUAAAUCACCUCGCUUUCCACAGUCGAUUGAAGAAGGGCUAAGCAAUCAAAAUACUCCUAGCUGAGGGUCAUGAAUCUAAAAGCACCCUCAGGGACAAUGAGGGUAUACUGUACUGGAUAAGUUUUCUCUCCCCAAAUAAAAAGGUUUCAUUCAGCUUUUAGUACUUGAUUUAGACACAAUUUACAUGCAUCUUUAAAUCAGUGGACAUCCUAAUUUCUCGCCUUACUCCUUUGUAAAGCUCUCCCCUAAAAGUUUCACCAGAAAGAAAUGUAACUAGCAUUUACUAGUCUUUCUUCCAGAUGAUCCAUUCCUGUCAAUGUUUUAAGGAUUUUGAAAGGACCACAGUUAUGACAGUACAGAUAGUUAGCAAGACUGAAGUUUUAGAGCUUCACAUUUACCAUAAUGUUGUAUUUUCUAUUAAUUUCAGGUUCAAAGGGAUCUACACUAAAGUUCACUAUUUAGAAGUUCUACAACUCAUAAAAAAGGAUGAAAGGAAAUAAAUCUGCAUUAUUCUAUUUUUCUACUAAUAGCCUUCAGUCCCAACCUUUGAGAUCAAGCUUGGUCCCUACUUUUGGCUUGGAAAAUGAGACAGAAAUGAUGGUAACAUCCCAACUCAGUUUA